AUGCUCAAACAUCGGUAAAUAAAUCCACACCUAUAUGAGAAAACUUUAAAUCAACACUAUGUGAGACAAUAACACUCCCUACUGGACACAUGGAAGACAUGGUUGAGGCUAUUUUUGCAAACUGGCUUAUUUGGCCAAAAGGUGGCUAGAAGUGCAAAAUUUGGCUAUGACCCUGCAAAGCCAAGAACCUAAGAUUUACUAGGAAAACCGGACCCUAUGUGGGUUGCCUACGUAUCAUGCCCCGAAAAACGAGAAUCAGGUAUGCGUAGUUCGGGCAGAUUGGAUACGGGCGUGAAUUAAAAAAACAACUAGCUUAGAGAAAAUAUGUUUUUUGUCUCUUUUUUUUGAAAAAAAUGAUGAACAUGCAACAUUUUUUUUGGAGUUUCUUUUUCCUUUUUUUUUGAUUUUUGAUUUUUCGGAAAAUGAUGAAAAAGUGCAAAAUCUUUUUUUUGAAUUUUCAAGCUCCUCUUUUUUUCUUAACAAAAAUGUGAUAGAAAACAUAAUUAGGCCCCACUCGCUUUAUCUUCACACUUCACCCUCGCUUUUUCCCUUUUUUUCUUUUUUUUUUCAUUUUUUCAUUUGCCCUACUAUCAUUGGUCCGCCAAAUGACCUUUUUACUCUUGAAUAAAUGCAACAUGUAGCACAUAGGAUGCAUCAAGAUAGUCUGUUAUUUUGGAUACAUUUGUCCUAGACGGACCCAACCCCUGUGUUGAGUCCCCUAGGUCAAGUUGCACAUGAUGCAAACAAGCGUUCCUACUAGGGAUUCGGCAUGAAGUAUUGUUAUACUAGGUUUAAAAACCUGGGUUUAUUUGUUCUAGACCUGGCUUACCCGAGUGGACAACUUGAGUCGAGGGGGGGCAGCGUACCGGGAAUACAGAAGCUUCACCGGCUUUGCAACUUGUCCAAACCUCGUUCUAAAUUUGGAAUAUGACUCUAACAGAAAAGAAAUCACACGAAAUGCACACUUCUUCAUGAUUCAGAAGACUCAGAGAAAGGAGGGAUUUCGCAAUAGUUUAUAUACAGUUCACGAAAUAUCGAAGCGGUAAAAGCAAUCAAUUAGCACACAAGGCCCAAAUCAUGUAACAAAAUUAGAUAAUGGAUAAAGCCAACUAUAAUAAUUAUUCUAAGGUCGAAUUCUUGAACCCUGAACCAGAGAUUCUGGGUUCGAUACCCAGCAGAGUCGCCAGAGCUGUCACACCUCCUUUUUCCUACACCCCCGUAAGGAUGUGUAAAGGAGUUUUUCCAAUUAAAGGACAAUCGAAACGGGAUUAUUGCAAUUAAAGAUUUAGAGUCGCCACUUGGGAGAUUUAUGGUGUCCCAAGUCACCGGUUCAAAUCUCGAAUCGAGGAAAGAAUGACUCUGUAUCACAGUCCGCGAACCAGAAAUCCGGGUAAGGAAUUCUGUUAACCCGGGAGAAGGUGUUAGGCACUCCCGAGUUCUGUGGUCUAGCCGGUCGCUCAACUGUUAUAUUUGGUUUAACUCUCUGAUUUUAGAAACACGUUUUAACCUAUGAUGCCAUUUUAAAAACUUUUAACCGCUUUUAAUUAAUUUUUAAAGAAGAUUGAACGUCGCUUAAAACGUGCCUUUGGAUCGCGCCAUAUGAAAUGCACCCGUAAUCCUAAACACAUUUUGGUCAACGUUUUAAGAUUUUGAUUUAGGUCACAUGAAAUGCAAACCGGAGUUUAGGAAGGUAAUAUUAUUAAAUAACGCGCCUAAAGCAACUACGCGUUUACACUGUGCGAGGGCCAUGGAAUUUUCUAAAUGGCACGCCUCGAAUUCUAAGGUUGAGUUCAAGCUAAUUAAAACAAGGGCUACGCAUUUGAGAUUUUAUUUGGCGCGGCACGCCUCAAAUUAUUAAUAAUCUAAAAGCAGGUCCUUAGUUAUUUCAAAGUAAAUGGGCCAGCAACCUAUUAUCCGAUUCAUUUGAACUUUGAGAAUCAACAACCGCUUCCAAUAACUUGUAUAUGCCAACCAAAAUAUUCCAAACACAAAUGGCAAUUGAUAGGUUAUGAUCCCAGCAGCCCAUAAUUUUUGAAAUCCUUACUAAUACCAAACCCACCACCAAACUGAUUUAUGCAAAGAAAAUUGUUGUUAGCAUACAACACAAGUCGUUCAUCAAAGAUGGAUUUUAAACCAUUUGCCAGAAUACAGUACUAUAUUUCUGAAGUAAUUUCCUAAAAAUCAAACCAAUACACAACACAUAGAACAAUCAACAAUAUCAAGUUAAAAAUGAAUAAUCAUGGUCCAACGAAAUCAGUGCGACAAGAAACAUCAUAGCUACCGUAACGAGAUAGUAAAAUAGAUGAGAAGGCAACAAAAUAGAAAAACAAUCCAAACACUCUACUGUAAACGUUUGGUCCAUACUACAAGAAUUCGAAUAGUUACGAGUAUUACCCAAACAAACAAUUGGAGAAACAUUUUAUUGCCUGAUGAAAUAACAACAAAUAACUAAAUGAAGCUAAACCCCAGCUUCUGAAUCCAACAAAAAAUAAAAACCAAUUUGCAGAGAAAGAAACCAACUGACCGGAUCAGAACCUCAAGGACGACCUCGGAUCUUCUAACGGAAAGCUGGUCAACUCGACCUAGACCAGACCGGAGAGCCUCAACGACGACCUCGAACAGACCUCAAAUCAGAAGCUUUGAACGAAUCUCACCGGAUUCAACUCGACUGAGCUUGGACGACGGUUUUGGAUGUCACGAGGGAUGUUUUAUGCUGGAUUUUGAUCUUUGGAUAUUGUUUGGUGGUUUGUCGGAUUUCUCGCCGGAUCCAUCACCUUCAGGCGCAACAGUGACGGUCUGAAAUCGCUCGACAGAGGAGCUUCGUUUGGUGGUGGAUGGCUGGUCUAGACUGGGUCUGCUGAUGGGUGUUCUUGGACAAAGAGGGUCGCUGGUUUGCUGAGAGGAAGGAGAAGGGUCGUUUGGUGUGGGGGAAACGGAGAAGACGAGGUCGGGGGGGUAGGUCCUAUGUGAAGCUGCGUAGCUUUUUUCCAAUCUGUUUUCGGCGUUCUCUUCAGACUUUUUAGUCUUAGGCGUUANNN
This 3038-nucleotide long non-coding RNA is filed under the name Nicotiana tabacum (common tobacco). Its description in RNAcentral is "long non-coding RNA (NTAB_LNC003697)". The record is from RNAcentral. Lineage: Eukaryota; Viridiplantae; Streptophyta; Magnoliopsida; Solanales; Solanaceae.